RNAcentral lists this non-coding RNA (201 nucleotides) under Sulfuritalea hydrogenivorans. RNAcentral also lists the same sequence under 1 other name. Lineage: Bacteria; Pseudomonadati; Pseudomonadota; Betaproteobacteria; Nitrosomonadales; Sterolibacteriaceae. The record is from RNAcentral.
CAUAAUUCGCCCCGAUUCGGUGGAGGCGCGUUCGGCAGCACGGCCUCCAGGGAACACGGUGCGGGGCAACCCAAUUCCGUGGCGGGCCCGCCGCUGUAACCGGGGACAACGCUUGCACGAAGCCACUGGGGUAAUGCCCGGGAAGGCGCAAGCGAAGGACGAUCCGGAAGCCAGAAGACCGACCGAUGAUUUUCAACAGCC